GAUGAACGCUAGCGGCAGGCCUAAUACAUGCAAGUCGAACGGCAGCACGAGUAGCAAUACUUGGUGGCGAGUGGCGCACGGGUGCGUAACGCGUAUGCAAUCUACCCUUGACUGGGGAAUAGCCCCGAGAAAUCGGGAUUAAUACUCCAUAACAUCAUCGAGAGGCAUCUCUUGGUGAUCAAAGUUCUGGCGGUCAAGGAUGAGCAUGCGUGACAUUAGCUAGUUGGUGAGGUAACGGCUCACCAAGGCGACGAUGUCUAGGGGUUCUGAGAGGAUUAUCCCCCACACUGGUACUGAGACACGGACCAGACUCCUACGGGAGGCAG
This 326-nucleotide ribosomal RNA is filed under the name uncultured Bacteroidota bacterium. RNAcentral describes it as "bacterial SSU rRNA". It matches the Rfam family "Bacterial small subunit ribosomal RNA", at positions 28 to 351 of the family's 1533-position model. Lineage: Bacteria; Pseudomonadati; Bacteroidota. The record is from RNAcentral.